ACAACAUUAGCAGAAAAGGAAUAGCUAACUAUCUGCCAUGGCCGGUAUGCGGAACUACACACAGGCCGUAUGCUUGGUAGCUCUUGUAGCCAUGGCCACCACUGUCUUCUCAUGUCAUGCAGCAGGGCGUUAUGUAGACCGAGCUAGUGGCAACAUUGCAUGCAAAGCUAACUGUGUUAACUGAGGUUAUGACAAGGAUAAGAGCAGUUGCAUGGAAGGCAGUAGUAGCACAUGUUGAUGCCGAAAGAACUGAGAAGUACCAUGAAAUGAGUUUAUAUAUGUACUAGAAAUAUUGCCUGGAGGUGAAUGCUUAUAUUGUUUGUGUGAAACCUGAUUCAGUUCAUACAAAUAAAUUAAUAAUAAGCUAAUGAUAAUUGUUUAUUUA
Molecule: long non-coding RNA, 385 nt
Organism: Triticum dicoccoides
Lineage: Eukaryota; Viridiplantae; Streptophyta; Magnoliopsida; Poales; Poaceae
Exons: 2
Source: RefSeq, a predicted model, not a curated record